Molecule: RNA transcript, 6390 nt
Organism: Zeugodacus cucurbitae (melon fly)
Lineage: Eukaryota; Metazoa; Arthropoda; Insecta; Diptera; Tephritidae
Gene: Ppt2
Gene name: lysosomal thioesterase PPT2 homolog
Exons: 9
Source: RefSeq, a predicted model, not a curated record
CCUGAGCUAUGUCGAAAAACGGCUUUAAAGUAUACUGCAGUAAUUACAUUAUUAUCUGCAUCUGCUCCUGUUUUAAAUCUAACCUCAACUUGGUUUGCUUUGGAAUCAUUUCCGUUGAACGCAUACUUUUGCUAUUUGGGUGCUUUAGAACACAAUCCAUUAACUUGGAACUGAAGUGGUCACAAUGUAAAAAUGUUAAGAACUUUGUUUAUACAACUCCGGAAACACACUUUCAGAUAAAAUGGACAGCUCCUGUAGGGCCCCCAGAGGUGAUCUAUGUAGUUAUUGAUGACCAGAGUAUACUGAGUUUGUGGAGGGAACACUUCUCCAACCUGCUGAAUGGCAGUGAAAGUAUAACACCAUGAGAUGGCGAACUCGAUUCCCCAAUCGACGACGAUGGAACAAAUGUUCCAUUGCCCGACCGUGAAGAAAUUAGAAUAGCAAUUACCCACUUGAAGAACAACAAAGCGGCGGAGGCCGAUGGAUUACCGGCCGAGCUAUUCAAAUACGGCGGCGAAGAACUGAUAGGGUGCACGCAUCAGCUUCUUUGCGGAAUAUGGUCGGAAGAAAGCAUGCCCGACGAUUGGAAUCUGAGUGUACUCUGCCCGAUCCACUAAAAGGAAGACCCCACAACCUGCGCCAACUACCUUGGCACAAGCCUCCUUAACAUCGCUUAUAAGGUUCUAUCGAGCGUACUGUGUGAAAGACUAAAGCCCACCGUCAACAAACUGAUUGGACCUUAUCAGUGUGGCUUUAGACCUGGAAAAUCAACAACUGACCAGAUAUUUACCACGCGCCAAAUCAUAGAGAAGACCCGUGAAAAGAGAAUCAACACACACCAUCUUUUUGUCGACUUUAAACUGCUUUCGAAUGCACGAAAAUGAUGCCUUUAUGCCGCGAUGUCUGAAUUUGUAUCCCCGCAAAACUAGUACGGCUGUGUAAGCUGACGUUGAGCAACACCAAAAGCUGUGUGUGAUUUCUUUAACCUGAUGCUGGAGAAAAUAAUACGAGCAGCAGAUCUAAAUAGAGAAAGUACAAUCUUCUAUAAAAGUGUAAAGCCACUGGCGUACGCCGAUGAUAUCGAUAUCAUUGGAAACAACACCCGCGCCGUUAGUUCUGCUUUUUUCAGACUGGAUAAGGAAGUGAAGCGUAUGGGUCUGGUGGUCAAGACGAAAUAUCUCCUGUCGUCAAACAAACAGUCAGUGCAUUCGAGUCUUGGCUCCCACGUCACUGUUGACAGUCAUAACUUUGAAGUUGUAGAUAAUUUCGUUUAUCUGAGAUCCAGCAUUAACAGCAAUAACAAUGUCAGCCUGGAAAUCAAACGCAGAAUCACUCUUGCCAACAGGUGCUACUAUCGACUGAGUAGGCAAUUGAAAGUAAAGUCCUCUCUCGACGAACAAAAAUCAAACUCUACAAGUCUCUCAUCAUUCCCGUCCUACUUUACGGUGCAGAAGCGUGGACGAUGUCAACAUCCGAUGAGACAGGACUAGGAGUUUUCGAGAGAAAGUUUUUGCGGAAGAUUUAUGGUCCCUUAAACAUUGGCAACGGCGAAUACCGCAGAAGAUGAAAUGAUGAGCUGUAUGUGUUAAUCGAUGACAUAGACAUAGUCCAGGGGCUACGCUGGCUAGGUCAUGUUGUUCGAAUGGACGAAAGUUCUCCAGCUCUGAAAGUGGGUGGCAGCCGAGAAAGAGGGAGACCUUCACACCGAUGGAAGGACCAGGUGGAGAGCGACCUGGCUUCGCUUGGUAUAACCAAUUGGCACCAAACUGCCAGGAGGAGAGAUGCGUGGCGCGCUGUUGUGGACUCGGCUAUAACCGCGUAAGCGGUGUCUACGCCAGUCAAGAAGAAGAAGAAAAUGGAAAGCUUACAUUUGAUAUCUGGCUGAGCCAAGUGUUUAUGGUGACUACAAAUAUCAAACGAAUGUUCUAUUUCACACACAACCGAAGAUUCCGUCGAAUAAGCGCCAUUUUUUGCAUAUUUUUAAACUGCUUAACAGUUUAAAUAAAAAACUUUUUAGCUAUAGCAUCUUAAAAUUGUAGUAAUUUGAAUCUCGAAUCUAACGUAGUAGCCAACGCCAGAAUUUAAUUGCCAUAACAGAUACAUCAAGCAACAAGCAACUUUUAAAUUUCAUAACAAAUUAUUAAAAUUGAACACAAAAUGUAUUUGCGAUUUAUUUUUAAACUUACUUCACACUAAUUAAUGAAAGAUUUAUGAAUAUUUUUCAAACUUUAUAACAAAACAUAUGCCUGUGUGACAUAGCAUUUCCAAAUAUACAGUUUCGGGUUAUACGAGAAAAGGUGUUAAUGUGAAGUAAAAGCUGUAAUCGAUUGGUCACUUCUCUAUUCGCUAUCUUUGAGCGCUGCUCGUCUGUCAAAAAUUUUACAUGUGAAAGAAAGAACAAAGUUAUCUAAUUGAGCUCAUGUAGGAGAGUAUGCGGAUACCUCAUUAAAAAUUCUAUCGUACAUUUUAAUUGAUUAAAUAAAACGUAAGCUCGAAACAAGGGGAUAAAAAAUAUGUUUCUGCAGAUUUAAGUAUUUCUCCACUUAAGGAAAUGAUGCAGCACUAUUGCGCAUCAUUAAGAGGACAAUUUAGCGCAGACUUGAACCAUAAGUGCUGCCUGUCUUUUUGAAUUACGAGAUAGUGUGCUCUAUUGGCUCUCUAUAAUGUUUACCGGACGUUUCACGUUCAAGAAAUUGCUUUCAAGUUGCCACACACUCACAAAUGUUUACUACCACACUCUCACUUUCCGAACUUGAAAGCCAUCUUGCUUUCAUCAUCUUGCGAGCAAGAAGUAUUUCAAGUUGAUGAUCAAGAGAUAAUCAGCUGAGUGCAGAGUUCUCGAAUUUCAAAGUACAAGUAAUAAAAUUAAAAUAAAUGACAAAGUUGAAAAUUUUUUUUCAAUAUUUCCUUAUUUAUUGAAUCUGCUUGUUUUUAAGCCUAACAACAAGUUAUAAAAUCUUAAAUAUAUUUGAAAACAAGACAAGCUCAACCAAGUGAUUGAGCUGUAUUGGUGAAACGUUGCUCGUUAGUACACUGGCAUAUCCCUUCUUUUUAGGCGUGUUUGAUCGCAGGAAUGUACUAAAGCAUUAGCCAAUGGGUUUGGGUGAUCACGGAGUUUAGAUAAAUAUGUCAAUCUACUUCUUUCUUUACCAUAGGGAUACCAAGAUCUUUAUGGAUAUUUUCCUUGCGCAUGUACCAUGGUGAGCACGUGAUUGAUCUAAGCAUUUUCGAUUGGAACCUUUGUAUUAUUUGUUUGUUGAAAUAAGUGAAUUAUUCCCUUUUACAAAAUUGUACACAAGCAGUGCGUUUUUUGGAACAUGAAUCUUCCGACGUAUCAAAUUGAAUAUCAACUUGCUUGGAGCCUACGUCAUGACUUUGAAUUUAUGUCAAUUUUGACAAUUAGUUCGUGUAAUCAACGUGAAAGCAAGUUCUUUACCAUGUAACGGCAGCGUUACCCAAUCGAUGACACCUAAAAUUUGAAUAGAAAACAUCGACAAAACAACGCUCGAGGUAACAUCGAUGCAUUAAUGUUUUUAAAUUCGAAGUAUCGAUGACAAACAACAUCGAUACAUCGUUUGCAUCCCUAGUGAUAAAUGCUUUCAACAAUGGCAUUUUUUAUAUUGUUUUUACUCGGAAUUAUUUCUAACGGGGCUACUUUUAAGCCAGUAGUAUUGAUGCAUGGUAUUUUAUCUGGACCCGAAAAGAUGGAGGUGUUGGUUGAAGAAAUCCAAAAGGCACACCCUGAUACAAAAAUAUACAACUUUGAUAAAUAUGAUGGAUGGGCUAGUUUGGAAAAUAGUUGGCGGCAAGUUAUAGAAUUUCGCAACUUUUUGGAAGUAAUUGGAAAAGAGCAUCCUGGUGGAAUCAACGUAGUAGGGUACUCUCAAGGAGGGCUUAUAGCUCGGACUGCUAUUCAAACUCUUCCUUCUCACAACAUUAACACUUUCAUUUCACUCUCAUCACCACAAGCUGGUCAAUUUGGAGCGAAUUUUCUACAUCUCGUAUUUCCGGAUUUGGCAGCAAAUACUGCUUAUGAGCUUUUUUAUUCCACUAUUGGACAGCACAUAUCGAUAGCGAAUUACUGGAAUGAUCCUUCAGAGCAAGAAUUAUACUAUAAAUUUAGCAAAUUUUUGCCAUUAAUGAAUAAUGAAAUUCGAACAUAUAAUUCCAGUCAGUACAAAAACGCUUUACUACGUUUGAAUAAAAUGAUUUUAAUAGGAGGUCCAAAUGAUGGUGUAAUUACCCCUUGGGAAUCUAGUCACUUCGGGUAUUUUAAUAAAACAUUGAAUGUUAUACCUUUACAUAAGCGAUUAAUAUACAUAAAUGAUUCGAUUGGGUUGAAAUCUCUCGAUAAUAAUGGCAAAUUAAUAAUAGUCAUCAAGCCAUUUGUUCAUCAUCUUACUUGGCAUACGAAUCGACGAGUCAUCCAGGAAGUUAUAAUUCCUUAUUUGGAUUAAAUAUUUUUUGGAACGCAAUUCAAACCAAUAGUUGGUAUUAAUACUUCCCAUGCUUAUAAUAAAUAAUGGUGGAUAAUCGCCAAAUAGUGUAACAUUUGUAUGCCUUCAACUAGCAAGUAAUCACUCCUCAGAUAACAACAUCGGCAGCAACAGCAACAAUUAAUACGUAUUCAAAUUCAGAAUAAAUGACAAAAUCGCACAUGCAACCGGCAAAUAACAAGGCUACAAAUUACAUCGGACUUAGGAGUAGCAGUUUCACUUAUUUUCGACGUACUAAACAGUGUCACCCAUGAUGCCCUUGGAUCUACACAAUGGAGAGUUAACAUAGUGCUCGAAAAAAAAAUAUUGAGGCGCAGAAGUUGCUUAUCCGUCUUCUGAUUUGACUAUGCAGUAUUAUGAUUGUUAAUUUAUAAAUUUUGAACGUUCGCAAUAGCACUAAAUUUAUUAAUUUAAAUGUAAAAUAUUGUUAAAUUAUCAUCUAUAUACAAAUUACUGUACCAAUAUUUGUAACAAUCGUAAUAGUAGAGAAAUUUAAUUUGUAUUGUAUAACAACACAAAAAAUCAAUACUUAAAACUUUUGAGAAAUUGUAAAUUAUACAAAUUUAAUAAUUAAUACGAACUUUAUAUGUAAAAUAUGUAAAUUUUGUCAAUGUAUAAAUGAUAGCCGCAAAAGCGUUUGUAAAAAUGAAGGUUUACUUUGUGCUGAUUGCUAAUCUUUAAAAAUUAAUCUAUAAUAAUUAUUAAAAUGUAAAAUACAAUACUAAUUUAUAAAUGUAAAUACCUCAUACCAUUAAAUAAUUAAAAAUAAAACAAUUUCAAUUUUUCAUUUUUAAACGAAAAAGUAGGGUGACCUAUGAUAGAAACCAUGGAGACCAAUGAAUAUUUAAGUAACGAAACGGUGACCCAGCAAAUAACCAAUACAUUUACUUCCUGUGACUAAGGUGUGAUCCUGAAAAUGAUAAAUCGAACAAUCUCCACUGAUAGAUGGCUGAUUAAAUAAAAAACCACUACAGAGGGCUCUGCUAACCACAUAGUGAGUUGUCGAGUAAAGUGCAAGAAGUUUUAAGUGAGAAGUUGAAAACUCGUAUAAUGAUUAAUAAAGUGUUCAGUUCUUUAAAUUAGAAAUAAAGACAAGUGUAUAGCCAUUAAAUAGUGACUUUUAUUUGACAAUUCAGUGAUCGAACUUAGGGUAGAGUUUCAGCGUAUUUUCAUAUAUAUAUAUAUAUAUAUUUCAAUUUUCAUUUAUUUUUUUGUUUAAUGUUCCUCUAUGCUGUUUUGUUAUUAGAAUAUUUUUUUUCCCUUUUUUCCUCUUUAGUUUUACAAUGCCCGAUUGAUGUUUGUUAAUUUUGUGCGGCGCUCGUUUUGUGCUUUUGUCUUUUGAUAGUGGGGGAUUGAAUUGCAAGAUUUUUCUCUUUCUCAUAAAAUACUGAUUUUUUGUAUUAUAACAUACAUGAAGCAUAAAUUCGUUGGAUAACUUUAAAUAAAAUAUGUAUUAUUUUAUUUGAAUUUAUUAACGAAAACAAGAAUAUACCAAAAUGGAUUUUGAUAUUUAUGCUAUACAACAGGGAUGUAAAUAAACUUCGAAAGUGAAAUAUCUGCAAGUAGUUAUAUAUUUCCGAGAAAAAUAUUAUUUUUAAGUAAAAUACAUUUACAUUUAAAAAUAUUCAAAAAAAAUUAAAAUAAAUACAGAUAAACUCUUUAUAGUGUUAUAUAAGACUUUAAAUUAAAAAAUAUAAAAUAAAAAUAUAACAAUUUACAUUGUUUAACUAUGAUUGAUGUGCCUUCAAUUUCUAUUAUUUAACUCAGAAUAAUCAAUUAAUUAAUAUUCAAUACAUAGAUUUUUGGAUCUGCCAAAUCAGAGGGGUAAGUAUUUUCCAGCAUCAUUUUGUAUUUUACUAACUAGCACAUAACAUAUAAUGUUAGAGAUUUACAA